RNAcentral lists this ribosomal RNA (673 nucleotides) under Marasmiellus violaceogriseus. Its description in RNAcentral is "eukaryotic LSU rRNA". The stretch from base 285 to 438 matches the Rfam family "5.8S ribosomal RNA". The record is from RNAcentral. Lineage: Eukaryota; Fungi; Basidiomycota; Agaricomycetes; Agaricales; Omphalotaceae.
AGGAAGUAAAAGUCGUAACAAGGUUUCCGUAGGUGAACCUGCGGAAGGAUCAUUAUUGAAUUCCAAGUGAAGUUGUUGCUGGCUUUCCGAAGCAUGUGCACACUUUGCAUAUAUUCAACCACYUGUGAACCUUUUGUAGAGCUGGCACAAUUCUCAAGGCAACUUGGAUGAGGAGUUGCUGGUCUUUCCGAAGAUCAGCUUCUCUCGAGUGCUCAGAUCUAUGUUUUACAAACCCUUAAUGUAAAYGAAUGUCUUUAAYGGUCUUUAUGGCCUUAAACUAAUACAACUUUCAACAACGGAUCUCUUGGCUCUCGCAUCGAUGAAGAACGCAGCGAAAUGCGAUAAGUAAUGUGAAUUGCAGAAUUCAGUGAAUCAUCGAAUCUUUGAACGCACCUUGCACCCUUUGGUAUUCCGAAGGGUAUGCCUGUUUGAGUGUCAUUAAAUUCUCAACUAUACUAGCUUUGUUAGUAUGGCUUGGAUGUGGAGACUGCGGGCUUCUCAGAAGUCGGCUUCUCUUAAAUGUAUUAGCAGAACUUUGUGCGUCGCUCUUGGUGUGAUAAUUAUCUGCGCCUUGAGUUGAUCACUAUUUGUGGUUCAGCUUCUAACUGUCUGCAAAGACACUUUAUGACAUUUGACCUCAAAUCAGGUAGGACUACCCGCUGAACUUAAGCAU